GCCAGCACAUUAUAAUGUGUUGGCAUGUCACACAGGAGGACCUGUCCCAUGUCUAGCAUCACCUGAAAAGUUUCUUUGGGGGUUCUGGGCCAGCCUAGUGAUUCCCAUCCUUCACCAUCUGGUCCCACCCUUAAGUGUUCUUUCAAGUUUGAAUAAUGUAUUUAAUUUGCUUAUGUUAAUAUCCCGUUUUAUAAUCAACAGUUUAUAUAUGUUAUGCCCAAACACCAAAAUCGCACAAUGACCAAAAAAAUAGCCAUAACGCAUUGUGGCCAGUUCCACCAAAACCAAUACGCAUUCUGAGCAUUUCGAAAUGACCACUGACCAUUCUGAAACAGAUCAGGCAUGUGUUUAUAGUAGUAUUUUCUGUGUAAGGUUGCCAGCACAUUAUAAUGUGUUGGCAUGUCACACAGGAGGACCUGUCCCAUGUCUAGCAUCACCUGAAAAGUUUCUUUGGGGGUUCUGGGCCAGCCUAGUGAUUCCCAUCCUUCACCAUCUGGUCCCACCCUUUAGUUAUCUGAUUGGAAAGGGGCAUAAAAUAGCAAAAAAAGUAUGCUCCGUGUUACUAGGUAAUAAUGG
Molecule: long non-coding RNA, 576 nt
Filed under: Androctonus crassicauda
Lineage: Eukaryota; Metazoa; Arthropoda; Arachnida; Scorpiones; Buthidae
Source: RNAcentral